GGGACUCAGCUGGUUAGAGCGUCUCGUUUACACCGAGAAGGUCGGGGGUUCAAGUCCCUCAGCAUCCACCA
Molecule: transfer RNA, 71 nt
Rfam family: tRNA
About the family: Transfer RNA (tRNA) molecules are approximately 80 nucleotides in length.